GAGCUUCUACUUCAGAUAAAUUCCAGACGGACUUCUCUAGCAAUUAGACUCCUGUCGGACUUCUCCAACAGAAAAUUUUCGUCCGAGCUUCUACAGCAGAUGACUUCUGUCUGUAGCAUCGACGCCUAAGGCACCCAACAGUAGUUAACCCGUCAGCAACCUCAAAAAUAUCCGAGCUUCUCCUAGAUUGCUGAGACAGAGGGCUAUUCCGCUUCACCAUG
This 221-nucleotide long non-coding RNA is filed under the name Elaeis guineensis (African oil palm). RNAcentral's name for it is "long non-coding RNA (EGUI_LNC057908)". Lineage: Eukaryota; Viridiplantae; Streptophyta; Magnoliopsida; Arecales; Arecaceae. The record is from RNAcentral.